Molecule: long non-coding RNA, 546 nt
Organism: Mesocricetus auratus (golden hamster)
Lineage: Eukaryota; Metazoa; Chordata; Mammalia; Rodentia; Cricetidae
Exons: 3
Source: RefSeq, a predicted model, not a curated record
UAUUCUAAAAUACCUUAUCGGUGGCUUGGGGAGAUGGAUCAGAGGGUAAAAUACCUUCUGUACAAGCAUGAGGCCUUGAGUUUGGAUCCCCAGAGACUAUGUAGAACAAGCUGCAGAAGUUCUCAUCUUUAAUCCCUGUACUCUUCCAAUGAGAAACGAAAUUCCUCCAGUGAGGAUGCUGGUCAACCUGACAUGAGGGAGAAUAGAGAAAAACUCUCUAAAGAUGGGAGCCAGCAGAAGACAAAGUGACAGACAGUAUAGCAGCACCAGAGAUAACAUGGGUAUCGAACGUGUCAUACCUUCAUUUCCGACAUCACUAAACCCAGGAGGAAGGCACUGCAGGGGACAAUAUGACACGUCGUGUUCUGAAUUUCCGUCCACCAAUGUCCACAAUGGCUGUACACUAGCAUCAUGUGGGGCACUUACACAAAGCUGUACUAGAACCCAGCCCGAGACCAUGAGGUCACUCCCCAGAUAACUACAAUGUCCAUCCAGGUGCACUGUGCGCACCUAGGCAGCCAUCAGUGUAUUUAUAUUUACAUUUUC